GGACCCGCACAAGCAGUGGAGUAUGUGGUUUAAUUCGAAGCAACGCGAAGAACCUUACCAGGGCUUGACAUCCGACUAACGAAGUAGAGAUACAUUAGGUGCCCUUCGGGGAAAGUCGAGACAGGUGGUGCAUGGUUGUCGUCAGCUCGUGUCGUGAGAUGUUGGGUUAAGUCCCGCAACGAGCGCAACCCUUAUCGUUAGUUGAUACAGUUCGGCUGAUCACUCUGGCGAGACUGCCGUUGACAAAACGGAGGAAGGUGGGGAUGACGUCAAAUCAUCAUGCCCCUUAUGUCCUGGGCUACACACGUACUACAAUGGCGAAGAACAGAGGGAAGCGAAGUGGCGACACGGAGCAAAACCCUAAAGUCGUCUCAGUUCAGAUUGCAGGCUGCAACUCGCCUGCAUGAAGGCGGAAUUGCUAGUAAUCGCGGAUCAGCAUGCCG
Molecule: ribosomal RNA, 443 nt
Filed under: uncultured Bacillota bacterium
Lineage: Bacteria; Bacillati; Bacillota
Description: bacterial SSU rRNA
Rfam family: Bacterial small subunit ribosomal RNA
Source: RNAcentral